Molecule: ribosomal RNA, 116 nt
Filed under: Yersinia enterocolitica
Lineage: Bacteria; Pseudomonadati; Pseudomonadota; Gammaproteobacteria; Enterobacterales; Yersiniaceae
Source: RNAcentral
CCUGGCGGCCAUAGCGCGGUGGACCCACCUGACCCCAUGCCGAACUCAGAAGUGAAACGCCGUAGCGCCGAUGGUAGUGUGGGGUCUCCCCAUGCGAGAGUAGGACACUGCCAGGU